AAAGACCGAGUAGAUUAGAUUCAAACCGACUUGUAACUCUUGGUCGUCAGACUAUAUAAGGUGGCCAAGGGAGCCCUUGGGGGUAACUCAUCUCAACUCAUACCAAGCAAUACAAUUCAUGCAUAUAGGACGUAGGGUAUUACUCUUGGGAGGCCUGAACCUAUCUAAAACCCUCAUGUCCCUUCAUGUUCUCAUGAUAACCUUCGAGUUCUUGAUCUUGCAAUCACCCUCAC
This 233-nucleotide long non-coding RNA is filed under the name Setaria viridis. RNAcentral describes it as "long non-coding RNA (SVIR_LNC010959)". The record is from RNAcentral. Lineage: Eukaryota; Viridiplantae; Streptophyta; Magnoliopsida; Poales; Poaceae.